CCCUUAGAUGUUCUGGGCUGCACGCGCGCUACACUGAUGCAUUCAACGAGUCUAAAACCUGGUCUGAUAGGGCUGGGUAAUCUUUUGAAAGUGCAUCGUGAUUGGGAUAGAUGAUUGCAAUUCUUCAUCUUCAACGAGGAAUGCCUAGUAAACGCAAGUCAUCAGCUUGCAUUGAUUACGUCCCUGCCCUUUGUACACACCGCCCGUCGCUCCUACCGAUUGAAUGAUCCGAUGAAUAUCAUGGAUUGAGGAUGCAAGUAGGUUCGCCUAUCUUCAUCUUCGAGAAGUGAAGUAAAUCUUAUCAUUUAGAGGAAGGAGAAGUCGUAACA
Molecule: ribosomal RNA, 329 nt
Filed under: uncultured eukaryote
Lineage: Eukaryota
Description: partial 18S ribosomal RNA
Rfam family: Eukaryotic small subunit ribosomal RNA
Source: RNAcentral